This 778-nucleotide ribosomal RNA is filed under the name uncultured bacterium. RNAcentral's name for it is "bacterial SSU rRNA". It matches the Rfam family "Bacterial small subunit ribosomal RNA", at positions 8 to 796 of the family's 1533-position model. The record is from RNAcentral.
AGAGUUUGAUCAUGGCUCAGGAUGAACGCUGGCGGCGUGCCUAAUACAUGCAAGUCGAACGAGGUGCUUUUGUAGCAAUACGAGAGUAUCCUAGUGGCGAACGGGUGAGUAACGCGUUGGUGACCUGCCCCAAAGUGUGGGAUAACAGUCCGAAAGGAUUGCUAAUACCGCAUGUGGUCCUCGGAUUUAGAAACCGAUGACUAAAGCCGUAAGGCGCUUUGGGAGGGACCUGCGUCCCAUCAGCUAGUUGGUGAGGUAACGGCCCACCAAGGCUACGACGGGUAGGGGACCUGAGAGGGUGGCCCCCCACAAUGGAACUGAAACACGGUCCAUACACCUACGGGUGGCAGCAGUAGGGAAUAUUGCACAAUGGGCGAAAGCCUGAUGCAGCAACGCCGCGUGAGCGAUGAAGGCCUUCGGGUCGUAAAGCUCUUUUCUGGGAGAUGAGAAAGGACAGUAUCCCAGGAAUAAGUCUCGGCUAACUACGUGCCAGCAGCCGCGGUAACACGUAGGAGGCGAGCGUUAUCCGGAUUCACUGGGCGUAAAGCGCGUGCAGGCGGUUCGGUAAGUUGGACGUGAAAUCUCCCGGCUCAACUGGGAUAGGUCGUUCAAUACUACCGAACUUGAGAGCGAUAGAGGAAAAUGGAAUUCCCGGUGUAGUGGUGAAAUGCGUAGAUAUCGGGAGGAACACCAGUGGCGAAAGCGAUUUUCUGGAUCGUUUCUGACGCUCAGACGCGAAAGCUAGGGUAGCAAACGGGAUUAGAUACCCUGGUAGUCC